GGUCCGUAGGCGGUUUAAUAAGUCAGUGGUCGAAAGCCCAUCGCUCAACGGUGGAACGGCCAUUGAUACUGUUAAACUUGAAUUAUUAGGAAGGUAACUAGAAUAUGUAGUGUAGCGGUGAAAUGCUUAGAGAUUACAUGGAAUACCAAUUGCGAAGGCACGGUUACUACUAAUGGAUUGACGCUGAUGGACGAAAGCGUGGGGUAGCGAACAGGAUUAGAUACCCUGGU
This 230-nucleotide ribosomal RNA is filed under the name uncultured bacterium. RNAcentral's name for it is "partial 16S ribosomal RNA". It matches the Rfam family "Bacterial small subunit ribosomal RNA", at positions 566 to 791 of the family's 1533-position model. The record is from RNAcentral.